This 467-nucleotide ribosomal RNA is filed under the name uncultured bacterium. Its description in RNAcentral is "bacterial SSU rRNA". It matches the Rfam family "Bacterial small subunit ribosomal RNA", at positions 328 to 792 of the family's 1533-position model. The record is from RNAcentral.
GCUCCAGACUCCUACGGGAGGCAGCAGUGAGGAAUAUUGGUCAAUGGGCUUACGCCUGAACCAGCCAAGUCGCGUGAGGGAAGACUGCCCUAUGGGUUGUAAACCUCUUUUGUCAGGGAGCAACGCCGGCUACGUGUAGCCGGACUGAGAGUACCUGAAGAAAAAGCAUCGGCUAACUCCGUGCCAGCAGCCGCGGUAAUACGGAGGAUGCGAGCGUUAUCCGGAUUUAUUGGGUUUAAAGGGUGCGUAGGCGGAAUGCCAAGUCAGCGGUAAAAUCGCGGGGCCCAACCUCGCUCCGCUGUUGAAACUGGCGUUCUUGAGUGGGCGAGAAGUAUGCGGAAUGCGUGGUGUAGCGGUGAAAUGCAUAGAUAUCAGGAGGAACACCAGUGGCGAAGGCGGCUUGCUGGACGAUGACUGGCGUUGAGGCCCGAAAGCGUGGGGAGCAAACAGGAUUAGAUACCCUAGUA